UGGAGAGUUUGAUCCUGGCUCAGAUUGAACGCUGGCGGCAUGCCUUACACAUGCAAGUCGAACGGCAGCAUGAUCUAGCUUGCUAGAUUGAUGGCGAGUGGCGAACGGGUGAGUAAUACAUCGGAACGUGCCCUGUAGUGGGGGAUAACUAGUCGAAAGAUUAGCUAAUACCGCAUACGACCUGAGGGUUGAAAGCGGGGGACCGCAAGGCCUCAUGCUAUAGGAGCGGCCGAUGUCUGAUUAGCUAGUUGGUGAGGUAAAGCUCACCAAGGCGACGAUCAGUAGCUGGUCUGAGAGGACGAUCAGCCCACACUGGGACUGAGACACGGCCCAGACUCCCUACGGGAGGCAGCAGUGGGGAAUUUUGGACAAUGGGGGCAACCCUGAUCCAGCAAUGCCGCGUGUGUGAAGAAGGCCUUCGGGUUGUAAAGCACUUUUGUCCGGAAAGAAAUCGCACUUACUAAUAUUAGGUGUGGAUGACGGUACCGGAAGAAUAAGGACCGGCUAANUACGUGCCAGCAGCCGCGGUAAUACGUAGGGUCCAACCGUUAAUCGGAAUUACUGGGCGUAAAGCGCACGCAGGA
This 584-nucleotide ribosomal RNA is filed under the name uncultured bacterium OSs77. RNAcentral's name for it is "bacterial SSU rRNA". It matches the Rfam family "Bacterial small subunit ribosomal RNA", at positions 1 to 576 of the family's 1533-position model. The record is from RNAcentral.